CUGUUAUGGGGGCAGCCCACAGCACACCAGCCCAGCAGACAGAUGUCCUGGGAAUAAGCAGACUGCUAGUUUGCACAGCUCUGUCCUCUCAUUCCAAACAGCAUCCCAGAAGCUUCCCUGAACUAUGUCAAGCAGAGUCAGAGAAGAGAAUACACAUAUAUUUAUUCUGAAAUAGGAACAGACUUCAUUGAAGAGUCCACCAGAGCCAGUAAAAAAGAACGAUGUGUUUGGUAUUUGGAAGAAGAGAAGAAAGGAAGCCGGAGAUUAAGUGUGGCGAGAGGCGUUUUAAUGUUCCUGGGUCAGGACAGCAAGCUUCCCUGGAGCCACUUGUCACUGAUGGAAACUGAGUCCAUGGCUGUCUCUAGUCUGAUCUUGAAGAGGCCUGCUUCUCCCACCUGACUGCUGGCUGGACACAGAGAUAUCUGUGUCCAAAAGACCCAAGCUCUUAAUAAAAACAAAAACAGAUAAAAUAAAAAUAAGAAGAACCAGUCUCAGCAUUUCAGCUUAACUCACUCCUACAUUUUUCUCCUCUCUCUCAUCUUUUCCCACUCUUGUUCUCACUCAAAAAGGGUCAGUGUUGUGAUAAUCGAAUCAGAUAAUGGCUGUACAGGGGCUUUGUCAUCUGUAAAGAACUUUACAAAUAUUCUCACAUAUGGAGGGGACCCUAGGGAGCUAGGCAUGCAAGGGGAACCCUGGCUCCCUCCCAGCCAGCAUGGCAAAGCCCUCAACUACUCUCUACAUGGUAGUCUGUGGCCCCAUCAUGUUUGAAAAGAAGACUCAGGCCGGGGAGGUUGGAGCAAAAUCCCAGUUACUACUGGGAUUUGGCUGGUCAGCUGGGGUCACCUUGUCAUUUCAGACUUGAAGAAAAUUGGCCCCAACACAGAAUCCCUGAGUUCUCAGGGCUCAGGCUUUAGCCUUAAGUAUAAUAGCAUCUUUUCGCAUUCCAACAGGAUACCCCAUGACUGUCUACAAAACUCUCUGGAUUUGAAGAGGGGGAUUAAAUCAAGGGAUGUGAGCAACC
This is a long non-coding RNA of Bubalus bubalis (water buffalo), 1021 nucleotides long. RefSeq lists it as uncharacterized. The transcript is spliced from 3 exons. The record is from RefSeq and is a predicted model, not a curated record. NCBI's taxonomy places the organism in Eukaryota, Metazoa, Chordata, Mammalia, Artiodactyla, Bovidae.